UGUGCCAGCAGCCGCGGUAAUACGUAGGGUCCAAGCGUUAAUCGGAAUUACUGGGCGUAAAGCGUGCGCAGGCGGUUGUGCAAGACCGAUGUGAAAUCCCCGAGCUUAACUUGGGAAUUGCAUUGGUGACUGCACGGCUAGAGUGUGUCAGAGGGGGGUAGAAUUCCACGUGUAGCAGUGAAAUGCGUAGAGAUGUGGAGGAAUACCGAUGGCGAAGGCAGCCCCCUGGGAUAACACUGACGCUCAUGCACGAAAGCGUGGGGAGCAAGCAGGACUAGAUACCCUGGUAGUCCACGCCCUAAACGAUGUCAACUAGUUGUUGGGGAUUCAUUUCCUUAGUAACGUAGCUAACGCGUGAAGUUGACCGCCUGGGGAGUACAGUCGCAAGAUUAAAACUCAAAGGAAUUGACGGGGACCCGCACAAGCGGUGGAUGAUGUGGAUUAAUUCGAUGCAACGCGAAAAACCUUACCUACCCUUGACAUGCCACUAACGAAGCAGAGAUGCAUUAGGUGCUCGA
Molecule: ribosomal RNA, 518 nt
Filed under: uncultured bacterium
Lineage: Bacteria
Description: bacterial SSU rRNA
Rfam family: Bacterial small subunit ribosomal RNA
Source: RNAcentral